This is a long non-coding RNA of Diceros bicornis minor, 217 nucleotides long. RefSeq lists it as uncharacterized. The record is from RefSeq and is a predicted model, not a curated record. The transcript is spliced from 3 exons. Lineage: Eukaryota; Metazoa; Chordata; Mammalia; Perissodactyla; Rhinocerotidae.
UUAGUAAGCUAGAACCCUUCAUGGAAAAUAUGGGCUUUGAGCUUGAAAAAGAGUUCCGAGACCUGCUAAACAACCUAUCCAUUGAUGGUGAGAAGGUUGAUACUAGGAACCUGGAAAAUUUUCUGGAAAAUAUGGGGAUAAAGCUCACAGAGGAUAAAGGCAAAGAACUACUGAACAAUCUCCCUGUUGAUGCUAAAGGAAGGGUGUAUAUGAACAG